GACGAACGCUGGCGGCGUGCCUAAUACAUGCAAGUUGAGCGAUGAAGAUUGGUGCUUGCACCAAUUUGAAGAGCAGCGAACGGGUGAGUAACGCGUGGGUAAUCUGCCUUUGAGCGGGGGACAACAUUUGGAAACGAAUGCUAAUACCGCAUAACAACUUUAAACAUAAGUUUUAAGUUUGAAAGAUGCAAUUGCAUCACUCAAAGAUGAUCCCGCGUUGUAUUAGCUAGUUGGUGAGGUAAAGGCUCACCAAGGCGAUGAUACAUAGCCGACCUGAGAGGGGGAUCGGCCACAUUGGGACUGAGACACGGCCCAAACUCCUACGGGAGGCAGCAGUAGGGAAUCUUCGGCAAUGGACGAAAGUCUGACCGAGCAACGCCGCGUGAGUGAAGAAGGUUUUCGGAUCGUAAAACUCUGUUGGUAGAGAAGAACGUUGGUGAGAGUGGAAAGCUCAUCAAGUGACGGUAACUACCCAGAAAGGGACGGCUAACUACGUG
RNAcentral lists this ribosomal RNA (497 nucleotides) under uncultured bacterium. RNAcentral describes it as "partial 16S ribosomal RNA". It matches the Rfam family "Bacterial small subunit ribosomal RNA", at positions 28 to 507 of the family's 1533-position model. The record is from RNAcentral.